UACGUAGGCAGCAAGCGUUGUUCGGAAUUACUGGGCGUAAAGAGUGUGUAGGCGGUGCUCUAAGUUUGGUGUGAAAUCUCCCGGCUCAACUGGGAGGGUGCAUCGAAAACUGGAAUGCUAGAGGGUGGGAGAGGUAAGCGGAAUUCCUGGUGUAGCGGUGAAAUGCGUAGAUAUCAGGAGGAACACCUGUGGUGUAGACAGCUUACUGGACCAUUUCUGACGCUGAGACACGAAAGCGUGGGUAGCAAACAGG
RNAcentral lists this ribosomal RNA (253 nucleotides) under uncultured bacterium. RNAcentral's name for it is "partial 16S ribosomal RNA". It matches the Rfam family "Bacterial small subunit ribosomal RNA", at positions 524 to 776 of the family's 1533-position model. The record is from RNAcentral.